This 800-nucleotide ribosomal RNA is filed under the name Bacillus velezensis. Its description in RNAcentral is "bacterial SSU rRNA". It matches the Rfam family "Bacterial small subunit ribosomal RNA", at positions 29 to 816 of the family's 1533-position model. The record is from RNAcentral. Lineage: Bacteria; Bacillati; Bacillota; Bacilli; Caryophanales; Bacillaceae.
GCCAAUUUGCGGGUGCUAUACAUGCAAGUCGAGCGGACAGAUGGGAGCUUGCUCCCUGAUGUUAGCGGCGGACGGGUGAGUAACACGUGGGUAACCUGCCUGUAAGACUGGGAUAACUCCGGGAAACCGGGGCUAAUACCGGAUGGUUGUCUGAACCGCAUGGUUCAGACAUAAAAGGUGGCUUCGGCUACCACUUACAGAUGGACCCGCGGCGCAUUAGCUAGUUGGUGAGGUAACGGCUCACCAAGGCGACGAUGCGUAGCCGACCUGAGAGGGUGAUCGGCCACACUGGGACUGAGACACGGCCCAGACUCCUACGGGAGGCAGCAGUAGGGAAUCUUCCGCAAUGGACGAAAGUCUGACGGAGCAACGCCGCGUGAGUGAUGAAGGUUUUCGGAUCGUAAAGCUCUGUUGUUAGGGAAGAACAAGUGCCGUUCAAAUAGGGCGGCACCUUGACGGUACCUAACCAGAAAGCCACGGCUAACUACGUGCCAGCAGCCGCGGUAAUACGUAGGUGGCAAGCGUUGUCCGGAAUUAUUGGGCGUAAAGGGCUCGCAGGCGGUUUCUUAAGUCUGAUGUGAAAGCCCCCGGCUCAACCGGGGAGGGUCAUUGGAAACUGGGGAACUUGAGUGCAGAAGAGGAGAGUGGAAUUCCACGUGUAGCGGUGAAAUGCGUAGAGAUGUGGAGGAACACCAGUGGCGAAGGCGACUCUCUGGUCUGUAACUGACGCUGAGGAGCGAAAGCGUGGGGAGCGAACAGGAUUAGAUACCCUGGUAGUCCACGCCGUAAACGAUGAGUGC